Aegilops tauschii subsp. strangulata is the source of this 105-nucleotide non-coding RNA. The record is from RefSeq and is a predicted model, not a curated record. Lineage: Eukaryota; Viridiplantae; Streptophyta; Magnoliopsida; Poales; Poaceae.
GAGGACAUGAAUACGUUGGAUACGACCAAAAAUAUUGCAUACAUGUAUAUUUGUGAGGUGAUUUCUAAUGCAAACUAUGCAAUAAUUUAUUUAUGUCAUCCAGGA